GGUGCUGUAGUUCAGUGGUCAAACCAUCUGUUUUGCUUGCAGUAGGUCCCAGAUUCAAUCUCUGGCAUCUCCU
This is a non-coding RNA of Podarcis lilfordi (Lilford's wall lizard), 73 nucleotides long. The record is from the annotation of a GenBank genome assembly. Lineage: Eukaryota; Metazoa; Chordata; Lepidosauria; Squamata; Lacertidae.